RNAcentral lists this non-coding RNA (21 nucleotides) under Arabidopsis thaliana (thale cress). Lineage: Eukaryota; Viridiplantae; Streptophyta; Magnoliopsida; Brassicales; Brassicaceae. The record is from RNAcentral.
UGCACCGACGGCCGCUCCGCC